Myxocyprinus asiaticus (Chinese sucker) is the source of this 1657-nucleotide long non-coding RNA. RefSeq lists it as uncharacterized. The transcript is spliced from 3 exons. Lineage: Eukaryota; Metazoa; Chordata; Actinopteri; Cypriniformes; Catostomidae. The record is from RefSeq and is a predicted model, not a curated record.
AGGGUGGAUGUGGACUUCCCUGGAAAUUAUUUUCUUCACAUUCUCUCUCCGGAUGUCUACCACUGUCAGCUUGCCUGCACCCAGCACCAUUCCUGUCUUUUCUUUACCUUCUUGCACCCUGACUGGAAGGAACACAACAGGUCAAAUGUGUAAUGCUUUUCAGAGUGUUUAUUGUAACAGACUUACUGUAGAAUCCACAAAGGUAAAAUGUUUACCGUAUGUACUGUGCUUCAGCACAUGGUGAGUGUUUUAGAGGACUAUGCUCUAGCGUCAUGAGUUUACCCCUCUGGAUGUACAUAAAGUAUUGAUCUGUUGUCGCAAGUUAUUGAUUUAUGUUUGCCAAUAUGUAGUGUAUUUACUGAAAAUAUUCUGAAAUGUGUAAUGUUUCCAUAUUUUUGCAUUUUGUUUAUUUUUUAUAUCUACUGUAAAUAACUUCAUUAACACCAAUCAAAAUGCACUAGAGAGCUCAAAGCAGUAACCUCAGGCUUCCCACUCAGUUCCACUCAAGAUUAUAACACUAGUAAGUGCAAUAUUUUCUGCAUUAUAAGCAACAUGCUCCAUUUGCUUGGUGUAACAGUGUUUGUGAAAUAUAUAACCCACAACAUAGGAUUGUCAGAGUCGGCAAGCAACAGACCCAAGAGCAGAGGAACAGUUCACAGAAUUUAUUAAUAACAGGAACUCAAAUGCACAGCAGGGCUGGCAAACAGUAAGGGACCUGGCACCGACUGCAGCUGGAAGGCGAUGAGUGUGUUCGUAGGCAUGUGUGCGUCGAGACAAUGUGGAGCAGAUCCGUGAGGAAUCCUCAGUAAAGAGUGUGUUCGUAGGUGUGUUUGUGUCGUGGCAGUGAAGAGCAGCAGCAGGCUGGAAGGAAGAGAUUCGAGCCAGUAUUUACCUCCCAGGGGAUACUUCUGAAUACUUGCUGUGUCACCUCAGCACUGUCAGUUUCAGUGCACCGAACAUCCCAGAUGCACCCAUUUCUCAUACACUUCUGCCAAGUUUAAAACAAGUGAUACAUGGUAUUGUAAGGCUGGCACCAGAAUGUCUACAACCAAAAGGCGCCAUUUCCGGUAAAAAUCAAAGAACUCUGCGAGAAUCAACGUCAUAGAACUCUCUCACAAAAGCUGAAAUCUACACCUGAAUAUCACCACAGUGUGAUAAAUUGCAAAUCACCUUGCUGCCCCCCCUUCUCCCCUUCAUCAGCUCUGGACCAACACAAAAGACACAAGAUUUAUAUGUAAAAAUAUAACAAAUACCAUGAAAACAAAGAAUGCAACUGUAUGUGUUUGAUAUAAUUUAAGAGGUCUCUGUGUGACUGGUAUAGUGGUCUCUUUCCCAUGUUGAUAAAACCAAUGGUAACAAAGUUAUAAAGUCUUUGCCAAAUACUGCAUAAUUCUGGAGGUGUCUCCCCCUCCUUGACCUACAAUUGAAAUCAUCUCCUGUAUGUUAACAAGGUUAAACCCCAGGAAGUCAAGAACCCAUUCACCCCCAAAUCCUCAUUGUUCAAAGGAUAAUACCAUUUGGUACACAAUGUUUAUUCUGUCUGGAUAUUUAAGGAAAGUUGGCAUGAAGUUCUGGGAAUCUGUAAGCAGAUCUCCCAUGCUGUACCGCUGCAUGUAGUUUUGUCAGGUAUGUUUCUUUGCAACAAUGUUUUAUAUCC